UACAGGUUUCUUCAGUGAAUGAAACUCCAUCGAAUGGCAAUGUAGUUUAUCGACAUGUUCGACCAACGAUAAACAAGUAAUCUGAAAGUGAAAGUGUAAAUACUCGAAUGAAAGAACAUCAGAAGCACCAAUGAACCUUCUGACUGAAUUACAAUCACGAUCGAUUGAUUGGAAUGAUGGCUUAAUAAAUUUGAUGCAAGAUUACAUUACAGACUGUCAAUAUGAAAUUUAUUAGCGAUUCAAAUCAACUCUUUAGAUGACUGCACCGUUGAAUAACCGUUUAUGCAAAUACGGUAAUGCCGGACGUAGCUUUUCUAUCACGGUUAUAAGACUCAUGCAGUUUCAUUAAUAAGAUUUCCAAGUUUUUUCAAGUGAUCAAUCAUCGUUCUCUCUAUUUAAAAUAAGAAUUUUCUAUUGAAUGUAGAAAUCUGCUGAGUGAUUAAAUGGCAUUUGAUCAAGAAAACUAAUAUAGACUGAAACUUUCGAUCUUAAUAGAUGAAUUUUCUAAUUGAUAGGACAGUAAAUAUUAAACUGGAAAAACUUGAAUAGUAUGUUCAAGUGUUUGGAACACAGUAAGUUCAAGUACAACUGGUUGUCAGGAGUUAAAUGUAAAAUUAGAUUAAUAUUUGGAAUUUACGAGUUGGAGGAAAAAGUCAAUGAUCAAGAUUGCAUAAUUUAUCAACUUUUCAUUAAUAAAAAAUUUAGAUGUAGAGUACCCUUGAGAUAGGUAAUAAUAAUUUGAAAAUUUAAAGGGGAAGUUACACUUAGCAAUUAGAAC
Long non-coding RNA from Chelonus insularis, 778 nucleotides. RefSeq lists it as uncharacterized. The transcript has 3 exons. NCBI's taxonomy places the organism in Eukaryota, Metazoa, Arthropoda, Insecta, Hymenoptera, Braconidae. The record is from RefSeq and is a predicted model, not a curated record.